Molecule: long non-coding RNA, 2021 nt
Organism: Sarcophilus harrisii (Tasmanian devil)
Lineage: Eukaryota; Metazoa; Chordata; Mammalia; Dasyuromorphia; Dasyuridae
Source: Ensembl
GCCGUAGUUUGGCUCCCGUAUUCUCUGCUUCCCCAUCUCUCUCUGUGGUAUCUCCCCAAAUGCCGGGGAGGUUCAGGGAGUGGGAGAUACCACAAAGGAGAGAUGGGGGGAGAAAUCUGCCUCCCGGAAGUCUCAGCUGUUACCUUAGUAACGGGAUUCGAACCCGCCCCUCACGCCCAGCCCCCUUUCCGUGGUAUCCUGGGGGCGGCGGCAGCUGGCUCGGCAGCAUCUUCUCCACAGGGUACCGAGAGGGAGAGGUGGAGUUAGCAAACCCAUUGCGCAGAGGAGCAAACUGAGGUUUCCCGAGGUGCCCACAGAGGCAGCCUCUCAUCCCUAGGAUGCGCUGGGUCCCACGCCCCGCCCACUACACCAUCCUGCCCGUCUGUCUCGGGAAAGACCACAGGGUACCUUCCACUUCUAAAGGCGUAUUUCGGGAUGGUUCUGGUAAUAACCUUAUCUCAUUUUCUCCUCACAAGGCGCAGUUAUUAUUCCCAUUUUGUGGCUGUUGUGCAGCAGGGCAGACCCUUCUGGCCCCAUGCGCUGUUUCUUUGGCCCAGGGGAGUGGCUCGCCAGUUUUCUUCUUCAGCCCAUUUUACAGAUGAGGGAGACUGAGGCUCCCAUAGAUUCAAUCUUCUUUUCCAGCCCUGACCUCUCUCCUGAUUUCCAGUCUCACCUCUCCCACUACUGGUUACCCAGGUCAUACUGAAUGUCUUGUAAACUCCUAAACUCUACACAUCCAAAAUUCGUCUUUUCCUCCCCAAAGCGCCUUUCUUCCUAACUUCUAUCUUCCCGGUUACCUUAGGCAUCACCUCCUUUCUCUCCUUGCCCCCCCCCAUAGUACUCACCUUAUCUGCUCCAUCUCUCCGGCUUAACUUCUCUCUCCCUCCUCCUCCUUUGCUCUGACCCUGACCUCAGUCAGGUGAACCCUCCUGGCACCUGGAUGACCUAACAACCCUGGCUGGUGUCCCAGUUCCCCCUUUCUGCUGUCCAUGAGGGCUUCCUAAAGUGCCGUCUCACCCUCCAAGAUCAAAUACAAACUCCCCGGUUGGAUGUUCAAAGACCUCUCUGACCUUUCCAGGUCUCCUACGCUCCCUCACCCCCUCCCUUCCAAGUACCCAGUGAUUCACCAGCUGCUCCUUGGACAAAAAUAGGCCGUUCUCGCCUGCCUCUUGCGGCCUCUUGGCUAAAAUCUCACCCGCACCAGCCCUUGCCUGGUCCUUCUCCCCAGCACCGUCGUCCGCCUCUCGAGAUGAUCUGCAUGAAUUUAUAUGCAAUGGCUUCCGUGUUGUUUCCUAUUGAACCAGGGGUUUUCUUGGGAGUAGGAACCUUUUUUUUUGCUUUUCUUUUAAUCUCCAGUGCCCAGUCCAUACCUGGCACAUAGUGUGUGCUUUAAAAGGCACUUGUUGGAUGACAUACAGAAAUAAUGUGAACAACUGUACAGCUCACAACUAUCAAAGUUCUUGCUUUCCAAGGAGGAGGGGGGGACAAAGGGUGGGAGAGAGGGGGGACUCACAAUUGUUUAGAAAAGGUUUAAAGGGAUUUUUACAUGCAAUUGGAUUUUUUCAAAGUGCUUGUGGACUUCCAGACACUAAUGAAAUGCAGGUCCCUGGCCUUCCAUUCCAUGGGAUUUCCCAGUGUUUUCCUCCCCUCUCCCACGGAUCUACUGAUAAUUUCAGACUCCCCGCUUUCUCUUCUCCAAUAUCUACAGGACUCCCCUAACGUAAGACUGUGACUCUACAGCCGAGGCUCUGACACGGCGCCCACACGGGGAGGGCCUUCCCGGGGCCGGACGGGAGCAGCAGGUCGGUCCUCGGAGCGGGAACAGGCCCGGACCUAUGUGCUAGCAGCUUGGUGAUGGGGAUGCGUGACUCAUGGAAACAGCCCACGACCACUUUCAAUGGAAAGGCGCCUGGAAGCCUCCUCCUCGGGGCUGGAGGCCUGCUGCCCUGAAGGCUUUCUGCCCCGGAGUCCUGGGCACCCCAAGCCCAGAAAGACGGGCGGCAGCGCCCCCCAACCUCACA